Molecule: unclassified non-coding RNA, 306 nt
Filed under: uncultured Chalastospora
Lineage: Eukaryota; Fungi; Ascomycota; Dothideomycetes; Pleosporales
Description: sequence contains ITS1
Rfam family: 5.8S ribosomal RNA (bases 1-105)
Source: RNAcentral
GAAAUGCGAUACGUAGUGUGAAUUGCAGAAUUGAGUGAAUCAUCGAAUCUGUGAACGCACAUUGCGCGCUUUGGUAUUCCAAAGGGCAUGCCUGUUCGAGCGUCAUUUGUACCCUCAAGCUUUGCUUGGUGUUGGGCGUCUUUUGUCUCCAGUUCGCUGGAGACUCGCCUUAAAGUCAUUGGCAGCCGGCCUACUGGUUUCGGAGCGCAGCACAAGUCGCGCUCUUUGCCAGCCAAGGUCAGCGUCCCGCAAGCCUUCUUUUCAACCUUUGACCUCGGAUCAGGUAGGGAUACCCGCUGAACUUAA